Molecule: ribosomal RNA, 404 nt
Filed under: uncultured bacterium
Lineage: Bacteria
Description: bacterial SSU rRNA
Rfam family: Bacterial small subunit ribosomal RNA
Source: RNAcentral
AGCGAACGUUGGCGGCGUGGAUCAGACAUGCUAGUCGAACGAGAAAGCGGGGGCAACUCCGCGAGUAAAGUGGCGAAAGGGCGAGUAACACGUGAUCAACCUACCCUUGCGAUAGGGAUAACGACCCGAAAGGGUCGCUAACACCUAGUGUGGCCACACAGAGACAUCUCUGAGUGGAGAAACGGUUGGGAUCUUUGGACCUUCUGCGCGAGGAAGGGAUCACGUCCUAUUAGCUAGUGGUGAGGUAACGGCUCACCAAGGCUGUGAUGGGUAGCCGGCCUGAGAGGGUGGUCGGCCGCACUGGGACUGAGACACGGCCCAGACUCCUACGGGAGGCAGCAGUCGAGAAUCUUCUGCAAUAGGCGCAAGCCUGACAGAGCGACGCCGCGUGGAGGAUGAAGGCC